CCUACGGGAGGCAGCAGUCGAGAAUCAUUCACAAUGGGGGAAACCCUGAUGGUGCGACGCCGCGUGGGGGAAUGAAGGUCUUCGGAUUGUAAACCCCUGUCAUGUGGGCGCAAAUUAAAAAGAUAGUACCACAAGAGGAAGAGACGGCUAACUCUGUGCCAGCAGCCGCGGUAAUACAGAGGUCUCAAGCGUUGUUAGGAAUCACUGGGCGUAAAGCGUGCGUAGGCUGUUUCGUAAGUCGUGUGUGAAAGGAGCGGGCUCACCCCGCGGACGGCACAUGAUACUGCGAGACUAGAGUAAUGGAGGGGGAACCGGAAUGCUGGGUGUAGCAGUGAAAUGCGUAGAUAUCGAGAGGAACACUCGUGGCGAAGGCGGGUUCCUGGACAGUAACUGACGCUGAGGCACGAAGGCCAGGGGAGCGAAAGGGAUUAGAUACCCUUGUAGUC
Molecule: ribosomal RNA, 446 nt
Filed under: uncultured bacterium
Lineage: Bacteria
Description: partial 16S ribosomal RNA
Rfam family: Bacterial small subunit ribosomal RNA
Source: RNAcentral